RNAcentral lists this ribosomal RNA (445 nucleotides) under uncultured bacterium. RNAcentral describes it as "bacterial SSU rRNA". It matches the Rfam family "Bacterial small subunit ribosomal RNA", at positions 330 to 792 of the family's 1533-position model. The record is from RNAcentral.
CCCAGACUCCUACGGGAGGCAGCAGUGGGGAAUAUUGCACAAUGGGCGAAAGCCUGAUGCAGCGACGCCGCGUGAGUGAAGAAGUAUUUCGGUAUGUAAAGCUCUCUCAGCAGGGAAGAAAAUGACGGUACCUGACUAAGAAGCCCCGGCUAACUACGUGCCAGCAGCCGCGGUAAUACGUAGGGGGCAAGCGUUAUCCGGAUUUACUGGGUGUAAAGGGAGCGUAGACGGCAGCACAAGUCUGGAGUGGAAUGCCGGGGCUUAACCCCGGAACUGCUUUGGAAACUGUGCAGCUAGAGUGCAGGAGAGGUAAGUGGAAUUCCUAGUGUAGCGGUGAAAUGCGUAGAUAUUAGGAGGAACACCAGUGGCGAAGGCGGCUUACUGGACUGUAAAUGACGCUGAGGCUCGAAAGCGUGGGGAGCAAACAGGAUUAGAUACCCGCGUA